GAUGAAGAACGUAGCGAAAUGCGAUAAGUAAUGUGAAUUGCAGAAUUCAGUGAAUCAUCGAAUCUUUGAACGCACCUUGCGCCCCUUGGUUAUUCCAAAGGGCAUGCCUGUUUGAGUAUCAUGAACACCUCAACUCUUGUGGUUUCCCACAAUGAGCUUGGACUGUGGAGGUUUUGUUGGCCCUGUGGUCAGCUCCUCUCAAAUGGAUCAGCUUACCGGUGUUUGGUGGCAUUACGGGUGUGAUAACUCUCUACGCUCGUGGUCGUCUCCAAAUAACCUCCAGUGAUGGAGGUUCGCUGGAGCUUAUAAAUGUCUCUCCCCAGUGAAGACAGCCUUUGAACGUUCGAUCUCACAUCAGGUAGGACUACCCGCUGAACUUAAGCAUAUCAAUAAGCGGAGGA
Molecule: unclassified non-coding RNA, 401 nt
Filed under: soil metagenome
Description: partial contains 5.8S ribosomal RNA, internal transcribed spacer 2, and large subunit ribosomal RNA
Rfam family: 5.8S ribosomal RNA (bases 1-121)
Source: RNAcentral